CCUACGGGUGGCAGCAGUGGGGAAUAUUGGACAAUGGGGGCAACCCUGAUCCAGCCAUGCCGCGUGUGUGAAGAAGGCCCUCGGGUUGUAAAGCACUUUCAGUGAGGAAGAACGCCUGGUGGUUAAUACCCAUCAGGAAAGACAUCACUCACAGAAGAAGCACCGGCUAACUCCGUGCCAGCAGCCGCGGUAAUACGGAGGGUGCGAGCGUUAAUCGGAAUUACUGGGCGUAAAGCGCGCGUAGGUGGCUUGAUAAGCCGGUUGUGAAAGCCCCGGGCACAACCUGGGAACGGCAUCCGGAACUGUCAAGCUAGAGUGCAGGAGAGGAAGGUAGAAUUCCCGGUGUAGCGGUGAAAUGCGUAGAGAUCGGGAGGAAUACCAGUGGCGAAGGCGGCCUUCUGGACUGACACUGACACUGAGGUGCGAAAGCGUGGGUAGCAAACAGGAUUAGAUACCCGAGUAGUC
Molecule: ribosomal RNA, 465 nt
Filed under: Vreelandella stevensii
Lineage: Bacteria; Pseudomonadati; Pseudomonadota; Gammaproteobacteria; Oceanospirillales; Halomonadaceae
Description: partial 16S ribosomal RNA
Rfam family: Bacterial small subunit ribosomal RNA
Source: RNAcentral